RNAcentral lists this ribosomal RNA (265 nucleotides) under uncultured bacterium. RNAcentral's name for it is "partial 16S ribosomal RNA". It matches the Rfam family "Bacterial small subunit ribosomal RNA", at positions 1235 to 1500 of the family's 1533-position model. The record is from RNAcentral.
GUCAACAAAGGGAUGCAAAGCCGCGAGGCAGAGCGAACCCCAAAAAGCCGUCCCAGUUCGGAUCGCAGGCUGCAACCCGCCUGCGUGAAGUCGGAAUCGCUAGUAAUCGCGGAUCAGCAUGCCGCGGUGAAUACGUUCCCGGGCCUUGUACACACCGCCCGUCACACCAUGGGAGUCGGGAACACCCGAAGUCCGUAGCCUAACCGCAAGGAGGGCGCGGCCGAAGGUGGGUUCGAUAAUUGGGGUGAAGUCGUAACAAGGUAGC